GAACAUUCAAAAGCAUUCCAGUGGCAGCUCGCACGUCAUCCAUCAGUUCCUCUGAGAACAGGCAGAGCUCUUUACUGUGAUGUCUCGCUGGUCCCCUGAUAACCUCUGAUCUUGCCUGGGAUGCAUCCGCCGCAGCAAUCACAACCCUCCACGGUUUUCCAAGUUAACAGCUUAAUGGAAGGCCGUGUGGUAAAGUGAAAAGAGCAGUGGACUUGGUAUCAGGAGUAAGAAGAACCAACAAUGAUGAAUACAUCGAUGACGUGCCAGGCCCUGAAACAAUAUUGCCCAUCAUUGCUGCUUCCCGGCGGUUUACUGCUGUUACACAGAAAGUGUCAUGAUGCUGGGGACCAGUGAAGACGUUUCAGAUGUCCCAGACUGCUGCAAGAGUGAAAGUUGGAGGGGACUGUGGAAGAUCUUGAGGCACAGAUGAGCAACACUCCAUCUGGUCAGUCAUCAAAAAAGUUCUGAAGAUCACUGAGUGAAAAAUGCAUUCACUGGACAUGGAUAGGAAAAACAGCCAGUCUACUUAGUCCCUGGGCACAAGAAAUGGACAGUAUUGGGAGGCUGGAGCACAGCAUAAGGAAAUAAUUAGAAAUGCAGUCAAAGAAUUAUGUACCAGGAUGUUCACAGAAGCAUUAUUUAAAAUUGAAGAACAAGCCAAAAAAAAAAAAUUGGACUCAAACCAAAUAGCCCAAAAUAGGGGAUGGUUAAAUAAGAUGGACUAUUAAACAGACAUUAAAUAUCAUGUUUUCAGAAUAUAUUUAAUUAAAUGGAAAAAAACACAUAUGAUACACUCUAAAGUUUAAAAGCAUGCACAGCUGUAUAUACAAUAUGUUUUAAAUCAGUGUCAAAAACGUUACGUUAAAAAUGAGCUGAAACUUGUGAAAAAUACUUAGGAUGAUAUAAAGUACUUUUCCAUCAUAUUGUAAGCAAUGAGGAAAGAAAAGGCAGGAAGAGAAGGACCCUAUUGCUUGCAGAAGAGAGCAAUUUCCUAACAGACAAUAGAAUUUAUUUUUCUCCAGCAAGGAAAAUUAUCUUCAAGUUCUAAAAAUAAAAAAUACAAUAAAAAUAUUAAAAUUUCAACCCAAAAUGGUGAGGAAG
This 1101-nucleotide long non-coding RNA is filed under the name Equus asinus (donkey). RNAcentral's name for it is "lncRNA (ENSEASG00005028480.1)". The record is from RNAcentral. Lineage: Eukaryota; Metazoa; Chordata; Mammalia; Perissodactyla; Equidae.